This 428-nucleotide ribosomal RNA is filed under the name uncultured bacterium. RNAcentral describes it as "bacterial SSU rRNA". It matches the Rfam family "Bacterial small subunit ribosomal RNA", at positions 354 to 796 of the family's 1533-position model. The record is from RNAcentral.
GUGGGGAAUAUUGGGCAAUGGGGGAAACCCUGACCCAGCAACGCCGCGUGAAGGAAGAAGGCUUUCGGGUUGUAAACUUCUUUUACCAGGGACGAAGGACGUGACGGUACCUGGAGAAAAAGCCACGGCUAACUACGUGCCAGCAGCCGCGGUAAUACGUAGGUGGCAAGCGUUGUCCGGAUUUACUGGGUGUAAAGGGCGUGUAGGCGGAGAAGCAAGUCAGAAGUGAAAUCCAUGGGCUUAACCCAUGAACUGCUUUUGAAACUGUUUCCCUUGAGUAUCGGAGAGGCAGGCGGAAUUCCUAGUGUAGCGGUGAAAUGCGUAGAUAUUAGGAGGAACACCAGUGGCGAAGGCGGCCUGCUGGACGACAACUGACGCUGAGGCGCGAAAGCGUGGGGAGCAAACAGGAUUAGAAACCCCAGUAGUCC